GACUACUGGGGUAUCUAAUCCUGUUUGCUCCCCACGCUUUCGCACCUCAGCGUCAAUACUUGUCCAGCGAGUCGCCUUCGCCACUGGUGUUCUUCCGAAUAUCUACGAAUUUCACCUCUACACUCGGAAUUCCACUCGCCUCUCCAAGAUUCUAGCUACCUAGUUUCAAAGGCAGUUCCGGGGUUGAGCCCCGGGCUUUCACCUCUGACUUGAGUAGCCGCCUACGUGCGCUUUACGCCCAGUAAUUCCGAACAACGCUAGCUCCCUCCGUAUUACCGCGGCUGCUGGCACGGAGUUAGCCGGAGCUUAUUCUCCAGGUACUGUCAUUAUCAUCCCUGGUAAAAGAGCUUUACGACCCUAAGGCCUUCAUCACUCACGCGGCAUUGCUGGAUCAGGCUUUCGCCCAUUGUCCAAUAUUCCCCACUGCUGCCUCCCGUAGG
Molecule: ribosomal RNA, 440 nt
Filed under: uncultured Novosphingobium sp.
Lineage: Bacteria; Pseudomonadati; Pseudomonadota; Alphaproteobacteria; Sphingomonadales; Sphingomonadaceae
Description: partial 16S ribosomal RNA
Source: RNAcentral